RNAcentral lists this long non-coding RNA (802 nucleotides) under Lathyrus oleraceus (garden pea). RNAcentral's name for it is "Pisum sativum (pea) long non-coding RNA (PSAT_LNC011004)". The record is from RNAcentral. Lineage: Eukaryota; Viridiplantae; Streptophyta; Magnoliopsida; Fabales; Fabaceae.
AAUUUUGAAACUUUUAAUCACUGGACGACCAAAUUAAAUAUUGGGAUUUUGAUUUUUUAGGGUUUUAGCUCACUGGGUGAGUUUCCCUCAGAAACCCAUCUCUUAAAGAUGGCAUUUUUAUUGUUCUGUACUAAUUGUAUUUUUUUAAACUGAAUUUCAGUUCUGUUAGUUGUUAACAUAGUUGGCAUAAAUGGGAGCUAUAGCGCCAUACCACAGCAGAAUUUGAACAAAUUUAUAUUGCUCCGCUGUAAGCUGUUUAGUACAAAAUGUUGUCAAAUAGAAGCUAUGGCAUUGCUAUAGUACUUUGGCGUAGCGGAAUCUGAAUCGGUUUCUAUUUUCUGUGAUCCACUAUUCACAACACUGGAGUGUAUUAAGUCUAACCCGACCAAUUCUGGAUUAGGUAAUGUUCAUUUUGAUGGGAGGUUGUUACUGGGGUGGAUGAGGAUGAUCUCUUAUAAUGCAGGAAACAAUUGCAUGAUUUGUUUGUUUUCUUGGUUAAAUUGCAUUAGGUAGUUAGUUUGUGGUAGUAGAUCGUAUGACAUGGUGUUUCCUGUUGUGAAGUUCAGGAUGGUUGAAACCGAGAUGAACAACUCUUUAGCUUCUGUUUUAGUAGUUGUGUGAAAUAGUAGAUAAGAUUUUGUGGCUCUAAUCCAUUGUUACGUAUUGUGAUAGUUCUCUUUGCUGUGGAGUUUAGUUUAGACAAGUAGUCUAUUUUAUAUUGGGAAUUUAGAAUGCACAUUGUGUGUACACAAUCAUGUAGUCUAUUUUACUGCUACCUUAUCGGGAUUUCACAUCACGGAAG